GACGAACGCUGGCGGCGUGCUUAACACAUGCAAGUCGAACGGAAAGGCCCUGCUUUUGUGGGGUGCUCGAGUGGCGAACGGGUGAGUAACACGUGAGUAACCUGCCCUUGACUUUGGGAUAACUUCAGGAAACUGGGGCUAAUACCGGAUAGGAGCUCCUGCUGCAUGGUGGGGGUUGGAAAGUUUCGGCGGUUGGGGAUGGACUCGCGGCUUAUCAGCUUGUUGGUGGGGUAGUGGCUUACCAAGGCUUUGACGGGUAGCCGGCCUGAGAGGGUGACAGGCAACAUUGGGAGUGAGAUAAGGCCCAGACUACUACGGGAGGCAGCAGUGGGGAAUAUUGCACAAUGGGCGGAAGCCUGAUGCAGCAACGACGCGUGCGGGAUGACGGCCUUCGGGUUGUAAACCGCUUUCGCCUGUGACGAAGCGUGAGUGACGGUAAUGGGUAAAGAAGCACCGGCUAACUACGUG
RNAcentral lists this ribosomal RNA (468 nucleotides) under uncultured bacterium. RNAcentral's name for it is "partial 16S ribosomal RNA". It matches the Rfam family "Bacterial small subunit ribosomal RNA", at positions 28 to 507 of the family's 1533-position model. The record is from RNAcentral.